GCGAGCGUUGUUCGGAAUUACUGGGCGUAAAGAGUGUGUAGGCGGUGCUCUAAGUUCGGUGUGAAAUCUCCCGGCUUAACUGGGAGGGUGCGCCGGAAACUGGAGUGCUCGAGCGUGGGAGAGGAAAGCGGAAUUCCUGGUGUAGCGGUGAAAUGCGUAGAUAUCAGGAGGAACACCUGCGGUGUAGACGGCUUUCUGGACCAUUGCUGACGCUGAGACACGAAAGCGUGGGUAGCAAACAGGAUUAGAUACCCUGGUAGUCCACGCCCUAAACGAUGCAUACUUGGUGUCGGCCAUUCAGUUGGUCGGUGCCCGAGCUAACGCGUUAAGUAUGCCGCCCGGGGAGUACGGUCGCAAGGCUGAAACUC
This 368-nucleotide ribosomal RNA is filed under the name uncultured Acidobacteriota bacterium. RNAcentral describes it as "bacterial SSU rRNA". It matches the Rfam family "Bacterial small subunit ribosomal RNA", at positions 534 to 902 of the family's 1533-position model. Lineage: Bacteria; Pseudomonadati; Acidobacteriota. The record is from RNAcentral.